This 266-nucleotide ribosomal RNA is filed under the name uncultured bacterium. Its description in RNAcentral is "partial 16S ribosomal RNA". It matches the Rfam family "Bacterial small subunit ribosomal RNA", at positions 86 to 353 of the family's 1533-position model. The record is from RNAcentral.
UAUGGGUUAGUGGCGGACGGGUGAGUAACGCGUGGGUAACCUGCCUUACACAGGGGGAUAACACUUAGAAAUAGGUGCUAAUACCGCAUAACACUGUGAGAGGCAUCUCUUGUGGUUGAAAGUUUCGGCGGUUACAGAUGGGCAUGCGUUGUAUUAGCUGGUUGGUAAGGUAACGGCUUACCAAGGCGACGAUACAUAGGGGGACUGAGAGGUUAACCCCCCACAUUGGUACUGAGACACGGACCAAACUCCUACGGAAGGCAGCA